CCUCGUAUAGUUAAGUGGCAUAACGCCGCCGCCUCACGGCGGUGUCGUCGGUUCGAUCCCGUCUGCGAGGG
RNAcentral lists this transfer RNA (71 nucleotides) under Ruminococcus sp. Its description in RNAcentral is "tRNA-Glu". It matches the Rfam family "tRNA". From Rfam's summary of the family: Transfer RNA (tRNA) molecules are approximately 80 nucleotides in length. The record is from RNAcentral. Lineage: Bacteria; Bacillati; Bacillota; Clostridia; Eubacteriales; Oscillospiraceae.